AUGGAAGUGGGAGUUGAGAACAUUCUGGCGAAUGUCACUGUGUGGCAAAGGUCAAAUGGAGCAACACAUAUUGCAGCAGAAGGAUGAGACCGGGAAAAUUGAGCUGAGAGACAGAAGGUGCAGCUACCCCUGUUCUGCAAAGAGCCAGACUAUCUCUGCAUCUCUACAGAAGAGGACUAGAGAUGGGAGCUGUGCCCUGAGCAUUACUCAUGAGGUUACCACGAAGAAGCAGGUUAGAAGCUGUUAGAAAAGACUCCUUCAUACCUCUGGCAGUGCUGACAUCCAUGCUACGGUGUAGUCAUUUGAAACUGCAGGGACAUCAGUCUUCACUGACACCUGGGAACACAGAGGCACACCUUUUGUAACCACCACAUAUAUCACAAAGGAGAGAAAAAAGCCAACACCGAAAGGAAAAAUUGAAGCAAAGUAGUAUGAGAGAGCUACACAGAACCUCCAGUGUUUCAAAGCUGCUGGUUGCUGCUAGUGUUGGCAUGAGAGGAAGCAUAAAGUGGAUCAAGUGCAAGGGCAAACAGUCCGAGGCAUUCUGCUAGCAGAGUCUCCUGUCAUCCUCCUGCUUUUCAACAUGAUGGCGAUCCAAGCUGCACAGAGUCUUGGAUGUAGCUCCAAGCACUGAAUCACUUUGACUCCCCUCCCUCCCCUGCAAUGAUCA
This 670-nucleotide long non-coding RNA is filed under the name Gallus gallus (chicken). Its description in RNAcentral is "long non-coding RNA NONGGAT006526". Lineage: Eukaryota; Metazoa; Chordata; Aves; Galliformes; Phasianidae. The record is from RNAcentral.